RNAcentral lists this non-coding RNA (21 nucleotides) under Caenorhabditis elegans. The record is from RNAcentral. Lineage: Eukaryota; Metazoa; Nematoda; Chromadorea; Rhabditida; Rhabditidae.
UCGAAUUUGAAGGUAUCCUAA